Molecule: long non-coding RNA, 338 nt
Organism: Amaranthus tricolor (Joseph's coat)
Lineage: Eukaryota; Viridiplantae; Streptophyta; Magnoliopsida; Caryophyllales; Amaranthaceae
Exons: 3
Source: RefSeq, a predicted model, not a curated record
CAAUUUAAUAGCCAUGCCCAUAUAUAAUAUAGGUUCUCUAAUCUUUAUAUUGUUCUUAAGUUCAUGUACUCGUUGCUAUUUCAUUAGUUUGUCUCUCCUUUAGUUAGUAUCAUAUGAAGAGAUAGAUCUCUAUAAGCUCAAGAAUCAAGGGUAUGGUGCAAAAAAAAUCUUGAAGGGUCAUGAUAAUCCUACUUAAAAUCAGCCUCAAUGUCUCCUGCAGAAGGGUAGGCUGAGAAAAUGAAAUGGCUAGGCGAGAAUCAAAUGCAAAACCUUAAUUAAAAAAGUGAUACUUCUGUGACAAUCUGGUUCUCCUAAUCCAACAACUUGUUCUUAAGAAC